Molecule: ribosomal RNA, 340 nt
Filed under: uncultured eukaryote
Lineage: Eukaryota
Description: partial 18S ribosomal RNA
Rfam family: Eukaryotic small subunit ribosomal RNA
Source: RNAcentral
CCCUUAGAUGUUCGGGGCCGCACGCGCGCUACACUGAAGGACUCAGCGUGUCUCUCCCCCUAUCCCGAAAGGGAUGGGCAACCCGUUGAACCUCCUUCGUGCUAGGGAUUGGGAUUUGCAAUUAUCCCCCAUGAACGAGGAAUUCCCAGUAAGCGCGAGUCAUCAGCUCGCGUUGAUUACGUCCCUGCCCUUUGUACACACCGCCCGUCGCUACUACCGAUUGGAUGGUUUAGUGAGACCCUCGGAUCGGUCCCGACUCGGGGUGGGCUUCUGCCCCGGUCGUGGUUUCGCCGAGAAGACGGUCAAACUUGACUAUCUAGAGGAAGUAAAAGUCGUAACA